This 94-nucleotide small RNA is filed under the name Flavobacterium urumqiense. Its description in RNAcentral is "Flavo-1 RNA". It matches the Rfam family "Flavo-1 RNA". Lineage: Bacteria; Pseudomonadati; Bacteroidota; Flavobacteriia; Flavobacteriales; Flavobacteriaceae. The record is from RNAcentral.
GUUUAGCCCGGAUAGCAGUGGAAAUCCUUUUUCUUGUAAUUCUUGCAAAGAAAGAAUUACAAGAAAAAGAUUGUAACGUAUAGCCGGAAAUAGC